UAGCUCAGUUGGUAGAGUGCUUGCCUAACAUGCAUAAAGCCCUGGGUUCAAUUCCCAG
RNAcentral lists this transfer RNA (58 nucleotides) under Ictidomys tridecemlineatus (thirteen-lined ground squirrel). RNAcentral's name for it is "Spermophilus tridecemlineatus (thirteen-lined ground squirrel) tRNA". It matches the Rfam family "tRNA", at positions 8 to 63 of the family's 71-position model. Rfam says of the family: Transfer RNA (tRNA) molecules are approximately 80 nucleotides in length. Their secondary structure includes four short double-helical elements and three loops (D, anti-codon, and T loops). Lineage: Eukaryota; Metazoa; Chordata; Mammalia; Rodentia; Sciuridae. The record is from Rfam by way of RNAcentral.